UUGAACGCUGGCGGCAUGCUUUACACAUGCAAGUCGAACGGUAACAGCACUUCGGUGGCUGACGAGUGGCGAACGGGUGAGUAAUACAUCGGAACGUGCCUAGUAGUGGGGGAUAACUACUCGAAAGAGUAGCUAAUACCGCAUGAGAUCUACGGAUGAAAUCAGGGGACCUUCGGGCCUUGUGCUACUAGAGCGGCUGAUGGCAGAUUCGGUAGUUGGUGGGGUAAAGGCUCACCAAGCCAACGAUCUGUAGCUGGUCUGAGAGGACGACCAGCCACACUGGAACUGAGACACGGUCCAGACUCCUACGGGAGGCAGCAGUGGGGAAUUUUGGACAAUGGGCGCAAGCCUGAUCCAGCAAUGCCGCGUGCAGGAUGAAGGCCUUCGGGUUGUAAACUGCUUUUGUACAGAACGAAAAGUCUUGGGUUAAUACCCUGGGACCAUGACGGUACUGUAAGAAUAAGCACCGGCUAACUACGU
RNAcentral lists this ribosomal RNA (480 nucleotides) under uncultured bacterium. Its description in RNAcentral is "bacterial SSU rRNA". It matches the Rfam family "Bacterial small subunit ribosomal RNA", at positions 30 to 506 of the family's 1533-position model. The record is from RNAcentral.